UAUUGAAAAUAUUAUUUGUAUUUUCUUAGGAAAAGUAGUUGGUUGUUUAAGUAGUAGGUUUGAAAUAAUUUUUGUAAUUAUAGAUUAAUAGUACAGUGAGGGGAUGUAUAAAGUUUAUAAAAGAAUAUUUUAUUUUUAGUACCUUUUGUAUCAGGGUUGAUUAAAAAUACGUUUUAUAUAAGAUUAUCUCGAAUUUAGAAGAGCUAGGGGAUUAUAAAUUUUAAUGUGGAAUAAUUAUUUAGAAUAUUUUCCUUGUUAUUAGACGUUAGUCGGUUUUAAAUAUAUCUAGUUUUCAAAGAAAUUAAUUUAAUUAGGCUUGUUUAAUUAAUUAAUUAUUUGGGUAAUUAGUUAUUGAACAGAGAAAUAUUCAGGGGGAUAAGCUCUUGAUUAGAUUAUCUAAAAUAUCAGGUUUGAAGGGUUAAAUAGGAAUAGAAGUUUUCAUUUUUUGUAGUGUGUUAUAUCAAGAUCUUUAAAUAAUUGAUUUGGGGUUUUUUAGAUUUUUUAUUUGAAUAUUGAAUUUAAUUAUAAAUUUUAAGUAAUAAUGAUUAAAUUAGUAUAGUGAGUUGUUCAUAAAUUAUGAAUAGGAAAUUUUAGCUAAGGAAUUCGGCAAAUUUAUUUUCUGCCUGUUUAUUAAAAACAUGUCCUUAAGGUUUUUAUUUAAGGUCUGGCCUGCCCAAUGAUUAAAUUAAAUGGCCGCGGUAUUUUGACCGUGCAAAGGUAGCAUAAUCAUUAGUUUUUUAAUUGAAAGCUGGAAUGAACGGUCUGACAAGAAAAUUACUGUCUCAGUUAAAUAAUUAGAAUUUUAUUUUUUAGUCAAAAAGCUUAAAUGUUUUUAUGGGACGAGAAGACCCUAUAGAAUUUUAUAAUUUUUUCUUGAUUGGGUUUUUAGUUUAAUUGUCCUGAUUAUGAAAAAUUUAAUUUGUUGGGGUGACAGGAAAAUUUAUUUAACUUUUCUUAAGUUUUUUUCACUUAUUUGUGUUUCUUUGAUCCAUUUUUUAUGAUUAUAAGAUUAAAUUACCUUAGGGAUAACAGCGUUAUUAAUUUGGAGAGUUCUUAUUGAUAAAUUAGUUUGCGACCUCGAUGUUGGAUUAAAAUUUAUUUUCGGUGUAGGGGCUGAAAAAUUAAGUCUGUUCGACUUUUAAAAUUUUACAUGAUCUGAGUUUAAACCGGCGUGAGCCAGGUUGGUUUCUAUCUUUAGAAAAUUAUGAUAUUUUAGUACGAAAGGACCAGGUAUCAGUUUAAUAAAUUUUAUUUUGAAUAUUAGU
RNAcentral lists this ribosomal RNA (1265 nucleotides) under Serrognathus castanicolor. RNAcentral's name for it is "16S ribosomal RNA". The stretch from base 1025 to 1183 matches the Rfam family "Archaeal large subunit ribosomal RNA", at positions 2542 to 2701 of the family's 2987-position model. Lineage: Eukaryota; Metazoa; Arthropoda; Insecta; Coleoptera; Lucanidae. The record is from RNAcentral.